This 253-nucleotide ribosomal RNA is filed under the name uncultured bacterium. Its description in RNAcentral is "partial 16S ribosomal RNA". It matches the Rfam family "Bacterial small subunit ribosomal RNA", at positions 524 to 776 of the family's 1533-position model. The record is from RNAcentral.
UACGGGGGGGGCGAGCGUUGUUCGGAAUUACUGGGCGUAAAGCGUGCGCAGGCGGUUUCUUAAGUCAGAUGUGAAAGCCCCGGGCUUAACCUGGGAACUGCGGUUGAAACUGGGAGACUUGAGUGUGGCAGAGGGGGGUGGAAUUCCACGUGUAGCAGUGAAAUGCGUAGAUAUGUGGAGGAACACCGAUGGCGAAGGCAGCCCCCUGGGUUAACACUGACGCUCAUGCACGAAAGCGUGGGGAGCAAACAGG